Molecule: long non-coding RNA, 4153 nt
Organism: Helianthus annuus (common sunflower)
Lineage: Eukaryota; Viridiplantae; Streptophyta; Magnoliopsida; Asterales; Asteraceae
Exons: 3
Source: RefSeq, a predicted model, not a curated record
AUAGUGGUUAGUAUGAAGCAUUCCCACUUUUGAGAAAAGUGCUCCCCUCCCACAAACAGAACUGAAGCCGUCUACUCUAGGGCUGUUAGGGCAUGUUUGGGGUUCCUUUUUUUGAGAAAAAAAGGACUUUUGAAAGGAAAAAGGACUUUUCAAAGUGUUUGGCUUUCCUUUUGAAGGCCUUUUAAAAGGCAAAAGUCCUUUGAAGUUUCCAAAAGUCAGGAAAUCCUGACUUUUUUUUCCCAAAAGUCCUUUUCAAUAAGUUAAAAAUAAGCUAAGCCAAACAUGCACUUAAACUCGGUGACAGUGACGAUGGUGGUGGCUGAAUUAGGGUUCCGACGCGGUGGUUCUAAAGCGUUGUUGCGGCGUCGUCACCACAAUCACCAUCGUUUUGCACUUGCAAAACCCUAACAUCGAACACUAGGUCGUCAGAAUCGCCUUGAAUCGAAGACCAGUGGAACACCCGUCUGCAUUUCUACCAACAUUAUCACUACUGUCAACCUCCGCAUCCACACUCACACCUCUGAUAAGAGGAUGAGGAUGAAUGCAUGGAUUCAGGAUUCGUAGAGGAAAGGAGGCUACCCCGCGGUUCGAAUCGACGAUAAGUUCUCCGUUGGUGGAUACAUCGCUCAACGGAAGCUCGGAUGGGGCCAGUUCUCCAAUGUUUGGCUUGCGUAUGAUUCUCAAACAUCUGUAAGUUUUUUGUUCUGUUCUGUUUGAUAUAUGAUCAUGUACAGUGAUAGUUUGCAGGGCCGACUCUAGCCCAAAUGAAAUAAAGCCACUGCUUUAGGCCUCCAAAAUUUUGGGGCCUCAAAUUUUAUAGGUUUGACUUCAGGUUAGACCCAACAUCCCAACUUAUUCAUUUGAAAUUGAUCAACGUUUGCAGUUUCAGUAAGAAAUCCAUCCAUUGCGUAUUAUUCCCAUGAGAGAAAUCUAUUACCCAAUUAGCUAAUCCCCACCUCCCCACUUUGUAUUGAUAAACGAACAGACACUAUUUGAUUUGAUCUAUGGUAUAAAGCAAUCUACAAAGGAGAAGCAUAGGGCCAUCGAAAAUCCAUUGUCCGAUCUAACAAAUAGAACUUCUAAUUCCAUAUCGUGAAGAACAUAAAUGCUUUACCUGUGAGGUUUGUUUUCUUUUUCUUAUUUAUAUUAUUUGUGUAGCCAAUUGGCCCAGUUCGUAACCAUAUAGAUAAUAAUCUAAUUUCGUAGAAGUGUGGAACAGGUGCAAAACUUAACGUUUUCGUUUAGUUGAGUUUGAAAAAUGUUUAUUCUUUUUUACCAUUGUGGUUAGUGAUGGAAUCAUGUCUAAUGUGGGGAGAAUGAAUUUGUAUUAAUUGAAUUUUUCCAACUUAAUGUAUUGCUUAAAUCUUUCUGUGCUCUAAAAUAGUAAAAUGUUAGUCCUUUGAGGUCCUAAAUAUUUCUUUUUGAUUACUAUUAGGCCAUUAAAAUUAAUUCAUUUUAACAUUUCUCACCUUUUGUUAUUGCAAUAUAACAUACAAAUGAAUUGUUAUAGGUUUAAAGAAAUUGGUUGGAAGGAAUAGUUUCAGAUAUUAUACAUCUUAUAAUUGACAUGAAUUCAAGUCUCAUGAUUAGAUUUUAGGACUCACUGUUGCAAAAAGGCAAUCAAGUCACGGUCGACUCAGUAAUUAAACCAAAUGAGCUAGGAUUUGUUAUUGACCCGAACCUAUUAGAAACUGUUAUCGGAUCCGUCUAUUUUGUUAGGCUUAGGUGAGUAUAAAAGGCCCCAAUUUCGAAGUUUGCUUUGGGCCUUUAAAACGGUUGAGCGGGCCAUGAUAGUUUGUUAUGAUUACAUUUAGUUACAAAUUUAUUAGCUUCUGUAGGAAUAUAGAUAUGAAAUGGUCCUUUAAUUAAUGCUUAUAAAAUGUUAGGUGAUUCGUUAUUUCCAAAGGGGAAGUUAUUAUUAAUAUUAUUAUGUUUGUAUCUGCAAAUAGAUAGUUUCCUUUAUGUUUUACUCAUUGUCCUUCAUGGGCUGCUGCAGAGGUUUUUACUAUUCAUUUUUGUUACAAAUCUUUAUUUAUAGUUUUCAUUAUACAUAUUUGUACAAAAAAAAAAAUUAUAGUUAACGAAAGCAAAUGAUAGGAGGAAAAUCAUAUUUUAUAAAAUGAAAAUAAAUAUCAGAUAAGUGUGCUGAGAGAAAUAAUCCUUUUUUUUCCAAUUUACUGUGAAUAAGCAAGCUGUGUAUGGUGACAACAGUUCUUUGGCUCCAGCAAGUGUUUGUAUUGGUAUGUUUUUCAUCACCCAUAUUAUAUAUAUACAUAUACUAAACUAAUGCUCACAUCCAGUCCUUUAUAUACACACUUAAUAAGGAGGCAAAGGAAAAAAACAAAUGAAAAGUCAACACAUGGCACAUGGUACUAGAAUUAGUAAACGAAUGAAAUUCGGAGAACAAGAUAGUUUUAAAGGCGAACAUUCGUGUCUCAUCAGGAUAAAAGUCCAUCAGUUUACGAAUUGAAUGAAAAUCAUUGAAACUUCUAUUUAAAAGAAACAGAUCACUUUAUAAUAUAUAGAGGGGAUUACAAAUGAUUAUAUCCUGUUUAGCAACCAAAAAAAAAAAAAAAAAAAAAAUAAUAAUAAUAAUAAUAAUAAUAAAACAUAUUCUAUAUGAUGAUCCCACAAGAAAUACAUACUAACAACAUGAUACUCCACAAAAUCCCUGAAGACCAAGAAGCAGCCUUUGAAUCAUACAUGUAGUAAGGAUAAGGAUACGGGUCACUGUUUUUGUCCGAAACCACCAGGUCCACGACCACCGCCAGGAGCAGCCGCCUGUGUCGGGAAGUACACGAAUGAUGGAGAUGGAGGACCGCGGUUGUCACCACCUGACGAAAUGUAAGUUGGUGGUGGUGGAGUUACAUCUAGCGGCGAAUCAAAGUAGUAAAAUCUUUCUGGCGGUGGAGCAUUAUGGACCGGCUUUGGAGAUGAUGGUGGCCUCGAUAGAACCGCAGGCGGAGAUGGUAGUGGUUUGAAAGUGACUAGAGGUGGAGAUGGUGGUGUUUUGAACGUGACCGCAGGCGGAGAUGGUGGUGGGUUGGUGGUAGAAGGUGGUGAUGAACAUAUGGGAGCUUGGUUUAAAAAAACGAGCUUAAAGCGUGAGGCGAUGAAGCGCUAGGGUUGUCGCUUUUUUUGCUCUGAGGCGACAAAUCACGUGAAGCGUUUUGAAGCGCGCUUUAAGCUCGAAGCGCCAUUGGUUUGAAGCGACGCUUUAGCCCAAUCAGGUCAGAUUUGGUUUUUUAUUUAGGCCCAAUAGUCUCUAAUUCGGUUUAACUGAGGCCCGCUACUUCUUUACCCUAAAAAAAAAGAACGUUAGUAAACAUCUUCAGCCGCUCCCUCCCUCUUCUCCAUCAACUCUUCAUACUUUCUCCAAUAAUCGACUUUAAUUUACGUUUUAACUAUGUUUUUUAUGUGUUAGGUAUGUUUUUAAUCAUGUUUUUGUGUUUAUUAUUGAUUAACAAGUAGAAUAUGUCAUAUUGAUGUGUACAAAUAUUUUUUUAUUUUUUUUUUAAUUUUGAGUGCUUCGUAUACGUGAAGCUCUCGCUUCGCGCUUGAAGCUUUGCUUAAAGCUUUUGGAACCAAAACGCUUCGGAGCGCCUCGCGCUUUUUUAAACCAAGUAUGGGAGUGCAUGUGCUGCAUAGUGAACCUGUGAGGUUGUCCACUGCUGUUGUUACUCCAGCAAAUACUAAGAGGAAAAAGAGUUGUUCCAUAUAUAAUUAAAUUGUUGGUCACUUUCUUUUGGCAAAUUGUGGGUGUUGAUAUAUGGUUCUUGGGUAUGUGCAUCACAUGUGGCAAAAUCAUAAUACAUGAAGUGCUGUUAGUUCCCAUCUUUCUUUUUACCAGAUGAAAGCCACGUUAGAGAUGUAUGAAAAGAACAAAUGAAGAGGAAUCAAAAUGACGAGAGAAUCAAGUUGUUUUUAUGUUGUUUUGAUUUUGAAACCCAUCAUGCUUUACUUUUAUCCUGAGAUGGUGUUGUUUGUAUUAAAAGUACAAGUAAUUCAAGGACAAACAUCCGUGUUAUCAAGCCGUUGCGCGCCGCAACGCGCGCGGUAUGAACCUAGUUCUAUUAAAAAUAAUUGUAAAAAGUGGUUAGUAAGGAUGUUUCAUGGUUGUAGAGUUAUAGAGAAAAUGAGAGUUAUUGAUGCA